This 942-nucleotide ribosomal RNA is filed under the name uncultured archaeon. RNAcentral describes it as "bacterial SSU rRNA". It matches the Rfam family "Archaeal small subunit ribosomal RNA", at positions 1 to 921 of the family's 1478-position model. The record is from RNAcentral.
UUCCGGUUGAUCCCGCCGGACCCGACUGCUAUCGGGGUGGGGCUAAGCCAUGGGAGUCGCACGACCCGCCGCUGCGGGGAGUGGCGGACGGCUGAGUAACACGUGGCUAACCUACCCUCGGGACGGGGAUAACCCCGGGAAACUGGGGCUAAUCCCCGAUAGGCGAGGAGGCCUGGAAUGGUUCCUCGCCCAAAGGGGGCACCGGGGGUUAUCGCCGGUGUCGCCGCCCGAGGAUGGGGCUGCGGCCCAUCAGGUAGUUGGCGGGGUAAUGGCCCGCCAAGCCGAUAACGGGUAGGGGCCGUGAGAGCGGGAGCCCCCAGAUGGGCACUGAGACAAGGGCCCAGGCCCUACGGGGUGCACCAGGCGCGAAACCUCCGCAAUGCGGGCAACCGUGACGGGGUCACCCCGAGUGCCACCCACGUGGUGGCUUUUCCCCGCUGUAGGAAGGCGGGGGAAUAAGCGGGGGGCAAGACUGGUGUCAGCCGCCGCGGUAAUACCAGCCCCGCGAGUGGUCGGGAUGUUUACUGGGCCUAAAGCGCCCGUAGCCGGCCCGGUAAGUCUCUGCCUAAAGCCCCGGGCUCAACCCGGGGAGUGGCGGAGAUACUGCCGGGCUAGGGGGCGGGAGAGGCCGAGGGUACUCCCGGGGUAGGGGCGAAAUCCUAUAAUCCCGGGAGGACCACCAGUGGCGAAGGCGCUCGGCUGGAACGCGCCCGACGGUGAGGGGCGAAGGCCGGGGGAGCAAACCGGAUUAGAUACCCGGGUAGUCCCGGCUGUAAACGAUGCGGGCUAGGUGUUGGGCGGGCGGUAGAGCCCGCCCAGUGCCGCAGGGAAGCCGUUAAGCCCGCCGCCUGGGGAGUACGGCCGCAAGGCUGAAACUUAAAGGAAUUGGCGGGGGAGUACCACAAGGGGUGGAGCCUGCGGCUUAAUUGGAUUCAACGCCGG